AGUUAUUAGCCCCACCCCUCACCACCAUGCCUUCAUGGUGGCAGCUCUCCUCUGCUGGGCAGCCUAGCCAUCACUGCAUACCUAUCACUCAGCAAUAAUCAAAACACUGGCCCAAGACAAUUUCUCUUCACUCACUGAGCCUCAAAAGGCAGUUCAAAAGGUUGGACACCCAUGCACAAGUGUCUUAGAACUUGAAUACUAUCAGGUGAAAAACAGAGAAUUGCUGGGGACAUUCAAAAACAGAGGAGACAAUGGUCAGAAACAGAACCUAGAAGCACGUUUCCAGUAAUGUUAGUAUAAUCUAGUAGCAGACAAGGAUAAAGUGGAGGUCUCUUGCACUCUGAACAAACAUAAACCUUCUACCUGGAGAGAGAAGGAAAACAUGCAAAACAAUAAAGGUAACUAGAAAUUACAAAUAUUUUUUAAUUUGAAAUACUUUAUUGGGGAAAGACAAAAGAACUUCAUUCUUUGGUCAUGAGAGUGAAUAAACAAGGAAAUACAUUGCUACCUGAGCUCUAGAUGAUAAAUAAAGAACACUUAGAAAUUUACACUGCAUUUUUUUUUCCAUAAUGGUUUUGCAUGUCACGCAAAGAAGAGGAAGAGAUGAAAAAAAUGAAUCAAAACAGUGAGAAAGUGAAAGAAAUCAACUACAGCUUUUACAGAAGAGUGAGGAUGAAAGCAGAAGCAAGGCAGCUAAGGGACUAUGAGAAUGCUGUAGGAACAGAGAAGACUCUUUUCAAAGAUCAAAUUUCAUUUUGAGAAGAUCAAGCAGCAUCACAGACCUGAUGACUACCUCCUGGAUCCCCGUCUUUUCUCCACUCUCAGAUUUGCUGAAUAAGUGGGACAGUUUUUCCCAUGACUCACAAAUCCUUCAUAAAGGCUUCUCUAUGCUCUCAUAGAUUAUUUCAUACAGUUUCUACCACCUUAGUAAUAAAACUACUUUUUUUUUUUUUUCAAUUCAGAAACUUUGGUAUCAUAGUAUUUUCUAGAAAGGAAAUGCUGUAAGAGAAAGAAAAAGAAAGGAAGAAAGGAAGCAAGGAAGUCCUUCAUAUCAAUGAAACACAUGCUGGUUAAGCUGUGAAAUACAUCUGUUAUACAAUUU
RNAcentral lists this long non-coding RNA (1102 nucleotides) under Gallus gallus (chicken). RNAcentral's name for it is "lncRNA (ENSGALG00010009899.1)". The record is from RNAcentral. Lineage: Eukaryota; Metazoa; Chordata; Aves; Galliformes; Phasianidae.